CUACGGGGUGCAGCAAUGAGGAAUAUUGCACAAUGGGGGGAACCCUGAUGCAGCAACGCCGCGUGGAGGAUGACGCAUUUCGGUGUGUAAACUCCUUUUAUAUGUCAAGAAAAUGACGGUAGCAUAUGAAUAAGCACCGGCUAACUCCGUGCCAGCAGCCGCGGUAAUACGGAGGGUGCAAGCGUUACUCGGAAUCACUGGGCGGUAAAGGACGCGUAGGCGGGUUGGAAAGUCAGGUGUGAAAUCCUACAGCUUAACUGUAGAACUGCACUUGAAACUUCUAAUCUAGAGUAUGGGAGGGGGAGAUGGAAUUAGUGGUGUAGGGGUAAAAUCCGUAGAUAUCACUAGGAAUACCUAAAGCGAAGGCGAUCUCCUGGAACAUUACUGACGCUAAGGCGUGAAAGCGUGGUGAGCGAACAGGAUUAGAUACCCCCGUAGUC
This 440-nucleotide ribosomal RNA is filed under the name uncultured bacterium. Its description in RNAcentral is "partial 16S ribosomal RNA". It matches the Rfam family "Bacterial small subunit ribosomal RNA", at positions 339 to 795 of the family's 1533-position model. The record is from RNAcentral.